RNAcentral lists this ribosomal RNA (935 nucleotides) under uncultured bacterium. Its description in RNAcentral is "partial 16S ribosomal RNA". The record is from RNAcentral.
GAUUGGUUACCUUUGUUACGACUUAGCCCCAGUCACCAAGUUUACCCUAGGCGGCUCCUUUUCGGUUACCGACUUCAGGUACCCCCGGCUCCCAUGGCUUGACGGGCGGUGUGUACAAGGCCCGGGAACGUAUUCACCGCGCCAUGGCUGAUGCGCAGAUUACUAGCGAUUCCAGCUUCACGAAGUCGGGUUGCAGACUUCGAUCCGAACUGAGACCGGCUUUCGAGAUUCGCUCCCUGUCACCAGGUGGCUGCCCUCUGUACCGGCCAUUGUAGCACGUGUGUAGCCCUGGACGUAAGGGCCGUGCUGAUUUGACGUCAUCCCCACCUUCCUCUCUACUUGCGUAGGCAGUUUCACUAGAGUCCCCAGCUUUACCUGAUGGCAACUAAUGAUAAGGGUUGCGCUCGUUAUGGGACUUAACCCGACACCUACGGCACGAGCUGACGAUAACCAUGCAGCACCUCGCUCAACGCCCCGAAGGGACUUGAGAUUUCUUCCCAAUAACAUCAAGCGUUCAAGCCCAGGUAAGGUUCCUCGCGUAUCAUCGAAUUAAACCACAUGCUCCACCGCUUGUGCGGGCCCCCGUCAAUUCCUUUGAGUUUAACCUUGCGAUCGUCUCCCAGUGGACACUUAUACUUUCGNUAACCGUGACUGUGAUCGCCACACGAGUGAUAUGUUACAGCGGGACUANAAGNUUUUAAUCUGUUNGAUCCCACCUUUCNGCUGACCNUAGUAUACUGGGGAGNGCUUUGNUUUNGGUNUGACAAUUNUGUUNACCGUUAUGUANUUCGCCCCUACUACUAGAUUACGNUUAAGNNCCCANNUNNCCGGGAUUNCCUGNUNNNCGNGGCCUUAACANAUCGAAACCGAUCUCNUACCGGUUGGNCGGUNCNNUUUNGGCUACUAAUAGGUUCUAANNUNCCAGNUUCGGGGNG